UCGAGAGUUUGAUCCUGGCUCAGGAUGAACGCUAGCGGCAGGCUUAACACAUGCAAGUCGAGGGGUAUAGUUCUUCGGAACUAGAGACCGGCGCACGGGUGCGUAACGCGUAUGCAAUCUACCUUUUGCAGAGGGAUAGCCCAGAGAAAUUUGGAUUAAUACCUCAUAGUAUGUGAGAAUCGCAUGGUUUUUCACAUUAAAGUCACAACGGUAAAAGAUGAGCAUGCGUCCCAUUAGCUAGAUGGUAAGGUAACGGCUUACCAUGGCAACGAUGGGGUAGGGGUCCUGAGAGGGAGACUCCCCCACACUGGUACUGAGACACGGACCAGACUCCGUAC
RNAcentral lists this ribosomal RNA (338 nucleotides) under uncultured Flavobacterium sp. RNAcentral's name for it is "bacterial SSU rRNA". It matches the Rfam family "Bacterial small subunit ribosomal RNA", at positions 1 to 342 of the family's 1533-position model. Lineage: Bacteria; Pseudomonadati; Bacteroidota; Flavobacteriia; Flavobacteriales; Flavobacteriaceae. The record is from RNAcentral.